This 2924-nucleotide ribosomal RNA is filed under the name Escherichia coli. RNAcentral describes it as "23S ribosomal RNA". It matches the Rfam family "Bacterial large subunit ribosomal RNA". Lineage: Bacteria; Pseudomonadati; Pseudomonadota; Gammaproteobacteria; Enterobacterales; Enterobacteriaceae. The record is from RNAcentral.
GGGUUGUGAGGUUAAGCGACUAAGCGUACACGGUGGAUGCCCUGGCAGUCAGAGGCGAUGAAGGACGUGCUAAUCUGCGAUAAGCGUCGGUAAGGUGAUAUGAACCGUUAUAACCGGCGAUUUCCGAAUGGGGAAACCCAGUGUGUUUCGACACACUAUCAUUAACUGAAUCCAUAGGUUAAUGAGGCGAACCGGGGGAACUGAAACAUCUAAGUACCCCGAGGAAAAGAAAUCAACCGAGAUUCCCCCAGUAGCGGCGAGCGAACGGGGAGCAGCCCAGAGCCUGAAUCAGUGUGUGUGUUAGUGGAAGCGUCUGGAAAGGCGCGCGAUACAGGGUGACAGCCCCGUACACAAAAAUGCACAUGCUGUGAGCUCGAUGAGUAGGGCGGGACACGUGGUAUCCUGUCUGAAUAUGGGGGGACCAUCCUCCAAGGCUAAAUACUCCUGACUGACCGAUAGUGAACCAGUACCGUGAGGGAAAGGCGAAAAGAACCCCGGCGAGGGGAGUGAAAAAGAACCUGAAACCGUGUACGUACAAGCAGUGGGAGCCUCUUUUAUGGGGUGACUGCGUACCUUUUGUAUAAUGGGUCAGCGACUUAUAUUCUGUAGCAAGGUUAACCGAAUAGGGGAGCCGAAGGGAAACCGAGUCUUAACUGGGCGUUAAGUUGCAGGGUAUAGACCCGAAACCCGGUGAUCUAGCCAUGGGCAGGUUGAAGGUUGGGUAACACUAACUGGAGGACCGAACCGACUAAUGUUGAAAAAUUAGCGGAUGACUUGUGGCUGGGGGUGAAAGGCCAAUCAAACCGGGAGAUAGCUGGUUCUCCCCGAAAGCUAUUUAGGUAGCGCCUCGUGAAUUCAUCUCCGGGGGUAGAGCACUGUUUCGGCAAGGGGGUCAUCCCGACUUACCAACCCGAUGCAAACUGCGAAUACCGGAGAAUGUUAUCACGGGAGACACACGGCGGGUGCUAACGUCCGUCGUGAAGAGGGAAACAACCCAGACCGCCAGCUAAGGUCCCAAAGUCAUGGUUAAGUGGGAAACGAUGUGGGAAGGCCCAGACAGCCAGGAUGUUGGCUUAGAAGCAGCCAUCAUUUAAAGAAAGCGUAAUAGCUCACUGGUCGAGUCGGCCUGCGCGGAAGAUGUAACGGGGCUAAACCAUGCACCGAAGCUGCGGCAGCGACACUAUGUGUUGUUGGGUAGGGGAGCGUUCUGUAAGCCUGUGAAGGUGUGCUGUGAGGCAUGCUGGAGGUAUCAGAAGUGCGAAUGCUGACAUAAGUAACGAUAAAGCGGGUGAAAAGCCCGCUCGCCGGAAGACCAAGGGUUCCUGUCCAACGUUAAUCGGGGCAGGGUGAGUCGACCCCUAAGGCGAGGCCGAAAGGCGUAGUCGAUGGGAAACAGGUUAAUAUUCCUGUACUUGGUGUUACUGCGAAGGGGGGACGGAGAAGGCUAUGUUGGCCGGGCGACGGUUGUCCCGGUUUAAGCGUGUAGGCUGGUUUUCCAGGCAAAUCCGGAAAAUCAAGGCUGAGGCGUGAUGACGAGGCACUACGGUGCUGAAGCAACAAAUGCCCUGCUUCCAGGAAAAGCCUCUAAGCAUCAGGUAACAUCAAAUCGUACCCCAAACCGACACAGGUGGUCAGGUAGAGAAUACCAAGGCGCUUGAGAGAACUCGGGUGAAGGAACUAGGCAAAAUGGUGCCGUAACUUCGGGAGAAGGCACGCUGAUAUGUAGGUGAAGUCCCUCGCGGAUGGAGCUGAAAUCAGUCGAAGAUACCAGCUGGCUGCAACUGUUUAUUAAAAACACAGCACUGUGCAAACACGAAAGUGGACGUAUACGGUGUGACGCCUGCCCGGUGCCGGAAGGUUAAUUGAUGGGGUCAGCGCAAGCGAAGCUCUUGAUCGAAGCCCCGGUAAACGGCGGCCGUAACUAUAACGGUCCUAAGGUAGCGAAAUUCCUUGUCGGGUAAGUUCCGACCUGCACGAAUGGCGUAAUGAUGGCCAGGCUGUCUCCACCCGAGACUCAGUGAAAUUGAACUCGCUGUGAAGAUGCAGUGUACCCGCGGCAAGACGGAAAGACCCCGUGAACCUUUACUAUAGCUUGACACUGAACAUUGAGCCUUGAUGUGUAGGAUAGGUGGGAGGCUUUGAAGUGUGGACGCCAGUCUGCAUGGAGCCGACCUUGAAAUACCACCCUUUAAUGUUUGAUGUUCUAACGUUGACCCGUGAUCCGGGUUGCGGACAGUGUCUGGUGGGUAGUUUGACUGGGGCGGUCUCCUCCUAAAGAGUAACGGAGGAGCACGAAGGUUGGCUAAUCCUGGUCGGACAUCAGGAGGUUAGUGCAAUGGCAUAAGCCAGCUUGACUGCGAGCGUGACGGCGCGAGCAGGUGCGAAAGCAGGUCAUAGUGAUCCGGUGGUUCUGAAUGGAAGGGCCAUCGCUCAACGGAUAAAAGGUACUCCGGGGAUAACAGGCUGAUACCGCCCAAGAGUUCAUAUCGACGGCGGUGUUUGGCACCUCGAUGUCGGCUCAUCACAUCCUGGGGCUGAAGUAGGUCCCAAGGGUAUGGCUGUUCGCCAUUUAAAGUGGUACGCGAGCUGGGUUUAGAACGUCGUGAGACAGUUCGGUCCCUAUCUGCCGUGGGCGCUGGAGAACUGAGGGGGGCUGCUCCUAGUACGAGAGGACCGGAGUGGACGCAUCACUGGUGUUCGGGUUGUCAUGCCAAUGGCACUGCCCGGUAGCUAAAUGCGGAAGAGAUAAGUGCUGAAAGCAUCUAAGCACGAAACUUGCCCCGAGAUGAGUUCUCCCUGACCCUUUAAGGGUCCUGAAGGAACGUUGAAGACGACGACGUUGAUAGGCCGGGUGUGUAAGCGCAGCGAUGCGUUGAGCUAACCGGUACUAAUGAACCGUGAGGCUUAACCUUACAACGCCGAAG